RNAcentral lists this ribosomal RNA (727 nucleotides) under uncultured bacterium. RNAcentral describes it as "bacterial SSU rRNA". It matches the Rfam family "Bacterial small subunit ribosomal RNA", at positions 28 to 753 of the family's 1533-position model. The record is from RNAcentral.
GAUGAACGCUGGCGGCGUGCCUAACACAUGCAAGUCGAACGAAGCGCCUGGCCCCGACUUCUUCGGAACGAGGAGCCUUGCGACUGAGUGGCGGACGGGUGAGUAACGCGUGGGCAACCUGCCUUGCACUGGGGGAUAACAGCCAGAAAUGGCUGCUAAUACCGCAUAAGACCGAAGCGCCGCAUGGCGCGGCGGCCAAAGCCCCGGCGGUGCAAGAUGGGCCCGCGUCUGAUUAGGUAGUUGGCGGGGUAACGGCCCACCAAGCCGACGAUCAGUAGCCGACCUGAGAGGGUGACCGGCCACAUUGGGACUGAGACACGGCCCAGACUCCUACGGGAGGCAGCAGUGGGGAAUAUUGCACAAUGGGGGAAACCCUGAUGCAGCGACGCCGCGUGAAGGAUGAAGUAUUUCGGUAUGUAAACUUCUAUCAGCAGGGAAGAAGAUGACGGUACCUGACUAAGAAGCCCCGGCUAACUACGUGCCAGCAGCCGCGGUAAUACGUAGGGGGCAAGCGUUAUCCGGAUUUACUGGGUGUAAAGGGAGCGUAGACGGCGAUGCAAGCCAGAUGUGAAAGCCCGGGGCUCAACCCCGGGACUGCAUUUGGAACUGCGUGGCUGGAGUGUCGGAGAGGCAGGCGGAAUUCCUAGUGUAGCGGUGAAAUGCGUAGAUAUUAGGAGGAACACCAGUGGCGAAGGCGGCCUGCUGGACGAUGACUGACGUUGAGGCU